Glycine soja is the source of this 2801-nucleotide RNA transcript. It is a transcript of the gene named pentatricopeptide repeat-containing protein At5g11310, mitochondrial, with no coding region annotated. NCBI's taxonomy places the organism in Eukaryota, Viridiplantae, Streptophyta, Magnoliopsida, Fabales, Fabaceae. The record is from RefSeq and is a predicted model, not a curated record. The transcript has 3 exons.
CAGGAUAAGUGCAUAAAAAAUUGACACCAAAAUUGCAGCGACAAACUCCUAAAUGUCCCAUACGGUCCAAAACCAAAUAUUAAACGACUCGUCGUAAAGAAGCACACCUUUCCCUUUCCCUUCAUUUCAUCGUAUUCGUGUUCGCAGUGUCUAAACUAACCCAAUGCUCUCUCGCUCUCUCAGACCUCGUCACAUACUCUCCUCCCUCCGUUCAUUACCCUUUACCCUAAACCCAAACCCAAACCCUAACCCUAACCCUAACCGAACCCCUCCAAUCCGAGCCUCCACACACCGUCCCUUCUCUUCUUCAUGGCUGUCCGAACCUGGAAACCCAAUCAUCCAAUGGCCCUCACUACCCCCACCAAAACCCACUCCGAACCCAAACCCAAACCCAAACCUAAACCCCACACCCGACCCUCCCUCUCCCAACCCAAACGCUCUCUCCGUCAUCUCCAACCUCUUCGCCGACCCUUCCCUCUCGCCCGGCCCGGCCCUCCACGCCGAGCUCGACCGGGCUGGGAUCGAGCCGGACCCGGCCCUUCUGCUCGCCGUGUUCGAUCGCUUCGGCUCGUCGCCCAAGCUGCUGCACUCGCUCUUCCUCUGGGCCCAGACGCGGCCCGCCUUCAGGCCCGGCCCCAAGCUCUUUGACGCCGUAGUCAACGCGCUCGCGAAGGCGAGGGAGUUUGACGCCGCGUGGAAACUUGUUCUCCAUCACGCCGAGAAAGACGGGGAAGAAGAAGGAGAAAAAGAAAGGUUGGUUUCCGUUGGAACCUUCGCUAUCAUGAUUCGGCGCUACGCUCGUGCAGGUAUGUCCAAACUUGCAAUUAGAACAUAUGAGUUUGCCAGAAAUAACAAGUCAAUUGUGGAUUCUGGCUCAGAAAUGAGUUUAUUGGAGAUAUUGAUGGAUUCACUUUGUAAAGAAGGGUCUGUGAGGGAAGCUUCAGAGUAUUUCCUUUGGAAAAAGGAGUUGGACUUAAGUUGGGUUCCUUCUAUUCGGGUUUAUAACAUAAUGUUAAAUGGAUGGUUUCGAUUGCGGAAACUCAAGCAGGGAGAGAGACUUUGGGCAGAGAUGAAGGAGAAUAUGAGACCCACUGUUGUGACAUAUGGUACCCUUGUGGAAGGAUAUUGUCGAAUGCGCCGUGUCGAAAAGGCACUUGAAAUGGUUGGUGAUAUGACCAAAGAAGGAAUUGCACCAAAUGCAAUUGUGUAUAAUCCAAUAAUCGAUGCACUGGCCGAAGCUGGAAGAUUCAAAGAGGCAUUGGGUAUGUUGGAACGUUUUCAUGUUUUGGAAAUAGGCCCUACUGAUUCAACAUACAAUUCUCUGGUAAAGGGGUUUUGUAAGGCAGGAGAUCUUGUAGGUGCUAGUAAGAUUCUUAAAAUGAUGAUAAGUAGGGGUUUCCUCCCAAGUGCUACCACUUAUAACUACUUUUUUAGGUACUUUUCAAGAUGUAGAAAAAUCGAGGAGGGGAUGAACCUGUAUACAAAGUUGAUUCAAUCUGGUUAUACCCCAGAUCGGUUAACUUACCAUCUUCUGGUGAAGAUGUUAUGUGAAGAGGAGAAGUUGGACUUGGCAGUUCAAGUUAGCAAGGAAAUGAGGCAUAAUGGAUAUGACAUGGACUUGGCUACGAGUACCAUGUUAGUUCACUUGCUUUGCAAAGUGCGUAGGUUGGAAGAGGCUUUUGUGGAAUUUGAGGACAUGAUACGGAGGGGUAUAGUUCCUCAGUAUCUGACUUUCCAGAGAAUGAAAGCUGAUUUAAAGAAACAAGGUAUGACUGAAAUGGCUCAAAAACUUUGCAAGUUGAUGUCUUCUGUUCCCUAUUCUCCGAAUUUGCCAAAUACUUAUGGUGAAGUCAGAGAAGAUGCAUAUGCACGAAGAAAAUCUAUAAUUCGGAAAGCCAAAGCAUUUUCUGAUAUGCUGAAGGACUGUAAGGACCCUAGUGAACUUCGUAAGCAUAGAAGUUCAUCAGAAAAUACUGUCUCAAGCACAAACAGUUUGAUAGAGGAUAUUGAGAGAAAAAGAAAUACAGGAUGAACUUCUGCGAUCUCAGUAUCAGCUGGGAGCAAUUAUGGACAGUUUGAAGCACAUGGGAAUCAGUUUGCAUUUAUUCACAUUUGUUGAAAAGAAUUUUGCUGUAUUUCCUUAUACAAUUUGUACGCAUCAAAGCAACAGGAAGUGGAUCAGUGAAACGGAUUCGCUGUUGUCUACAACAGCAUCUGCUACCAGUGUUCGUUGUACAGAAAAUAACUUCUAAUAGCCAAAUUGUGGAUAUUUAUCAAUGAAGAUAACAACAACUGAAGUUAUUUCUAGCCAUUGGAGCUCACAGUAAAUUGCUUUUAACGUGUUCCAUCAAAAAGUUGGUACAAAUCCCUGUAAUCUUCAUUUUUGGAAAGUGUCAUCUAUUUUUAAGUCGGAACUAUUGCUUCUAGCCUACCACUGGGGAUCUGUAUUGAGGGGGAGGUCAAUAUCCACUGCCAUGAACUUUCAUCUUCAUCCUUUUAAGCAUCAUCAUAUUCCUGAGAAACUGGCUCGCUGGCCUAUUUUGGUUGGGGGUAUACUCUUAACCAACCUCUUGUGAUGCUCAGUGAUUUUUUGGGUUAUCAAGUCAGUUUGUAUACUUUUUUAGCUCUAGUUAUAUAAGCCAAGAGGCAAAAAAAAAAAAAAAAAAAAAAACUACCAAAUACUAAUUUAUUUAGUAUGAUCAUAGUUUGUGCUCAUGAGUUAUCCUUAUAUCAUUUGACGAGUAUCCUUAUAUCAUUUGACGAAUGCCAACGUAGCAUUACUUGUGCGAGAUGUUUUUUCA